Molecule: long non-coding RNA, 3353 nt
Organism: Oxyura jamaicensis (ruddy duck)
Lineage: Eukaryota; Metazoa; Chordata; Aves; Anseriformes; Anatidae
Exons: 2
Source: RefSeq, a predicted model, not a curated record
ACAAUAUAAAACCACUAGACCCUAGACCAGCACAGGCUGAACAGGUUUCAAGACUGCGAGGCUGGACCACAACCACAGGUAGACGUAGGGACCAUAACUUGAUCUCUUGGUUUUCUAGCAUCUAGAUUUAAAAUGUUAUAAUCAACAGCAUUUUAAAGGUGCAUAAUAUAUCUUGAACUGUUAUUUUAAAGGACCUGAGGAGUUUGUUAUCACUUCAGUCUCUAACAUCAGCUUUGGAUAUCUUACUAUGGACUGACCCUUAAUCCAAACUCAAGGUUCAGAGCUUGGUGCAGACACUGAGGUGCAGCCCUGCACAAAGAGUUUUACUACAUCAAACAUUGUUGCUAAUGGUUCCCUUUUGGCUUCCCCCACUCAGGUUUGUUUAAAGAAGCUGCCUUUGCCUGGCAGUUCCUUCAGUUUGACUUGGAAGCAGGAUUUUCUUACACAUACACGUGAGCAUUUUUGCCUUGCUGCAUCACAGCUGAACACAAUUUGCCCGUGCCUUUAGUGGGACCAUAUUUCAUCAGAGAUGCACAAGAAUGCCAGAGGAACCACACUAGGGAAGCAUCACAUGUGGUUCUCAGGGAUGGCUUGUGGAUGGCGAGAGAAGAAACAUCCUUCGGCUUCAAAGAAAUCCUGGGUUUUAUUAGCAUUAUCGGGAGAAAUUGUCACUCAGGGGCUUGCUGUUGGUUUAGGCCCAGCGGUCAUUGGUCUAAUAACCUUCUGACUGAGGUUGGGAUUAAAAAGUCAAAAGUUUUUGGUUCAUUCAGCAAGUGGGACCCUCUGUCUGAGCACGUUAACAUCUGCAUUGACUCUUUGUUCUGCCCCAGUGGUCCCCAGCCCACGCUGGCCCAGGGAUAAUAUCAAGAAGGAAUGCACCGUCUUUUUUUUUUUUUUUUUUUUUUUUUCCCACUCCCUUCCCCAUCCUUUUCAACUCCUAUGGCUGCAAGCAGCCUCAGAGGGUCCAUAAGGUUAACAAAUUGGGAAUUUUAACCCACUUUGUUUCAGCCUCCCCUGAACCAUGCCUGUCGGCUUUGCUGCGGGGCCAUGAACCCGGGACUCUUCCUGCCCGAUGGUCCCCAGGCCCCCGUGCUCGCAGGGCUGGGAGCUGUGGGGCAGCCUCAGAGGGGCUGUGCCCCAGGGCGAGCCAUGCAGAUCUUCGGGGAUGAAACAAAAUGUUUCAGAUGCAAUGAAUUGGACAUCUGUUUCAUCAGAGAGGGGAAAAAAAAUGAAAGAAAGAAAAGAUAAAUUUCAUCAGCUCUAAUGAGAGAUGCGAAGAUAUUUUGGUAUGUUGAUAGGCUGCCUCCUGCUCCUCACAGCUGGAACAAACACGCUACCUAAUCUAUUGGCUCCGAGGAAUGAUUUUUUUUUCCCUGGGUAAUACCUUUUCUUCACAUCAGAGCACUGAGUAUCGGUAGCACGCACUUGAUGUUUUUCAGUGCUCUCUUUAGCGUUUUUGGGUCAUUGCCAGCCUUCAAUUUACCUGCAUGUUCCCCUAUCUCUAGGCUGCGGAUCCAUCCUGUGCUGGAUUUCUUAGAUACAAUGACAUCUCCCAUGCAAGCUAUUGUUUUUUUUUUUUAAUUCUGCAGCUUUAUUUGUGCUAAAAAUCUGUUUUGUUUCUCUGUUAAUCUGAUCAGGGGAUCUGCUUUUACCCCAAAUUUGCCCUGUAGGAUUCACCUCCUCCAACUGCUUCCCCACCCCACGAGUGUGCUGGACCAGGCCUGCAGGACUUUGUCCUCCUCACCCUGAGGACAUCUCAGCAUCACCCAUCACCCACAGAGAAGUUGUUUGACUGAGCCUGAUGUUUUUGUGUUGCUCUGGACCCUUAGAUCAUGGACCCUUAAAUCCUGGUAAGAAACCAUCCUGUCUGGCUCCUGCCUCUUUCACAUCCUCAUGAUCUGAACGUGCCUCCUUCUCCCAGGAACACAUCUGUGUGCAUACAGGAACAGAAACAGGGGUUUAGAUGACUCUAUGGGAAUUGCACCUGGGAAAAGGGAGGUGGCCUCAUACUGCAGCAUUUGGAAACAAAUUCAGAGUGCUCUCCAUGACCCUUCUCUGCAUGUCACUAUCUGGGCUGUGGGACCAGCCCUCAGAGAAGGGCCACGGAACCGGCUGCUGCUUGGGGGCCGCUUCUCCUUCCCCCAAGCUCUGCGAUAACAUUUCCAGUGAGCACAGAGGGGCAAAUGGCAGAACACUUGCAAAUGUUUGAAGGGCUUUUGCCGAUCAGAGUUCAGCGCUCCAGUUAUUCAUUAUUUCAUAGCAAAGAAGAAAUAGAGCCUCGGUGUUCUCUAAGUGAUAGACACAGGGUGACAAUCACAGGGGCUCUGGUGAACUUCCCGAUAUUAAGGCAGAUAAAGUGCUAUUCAGAUGUAAUCCAAUCAACAAGACACUACUCAAAGCAAGCUGGGUAGCAUGGCAAACUGAGCUGAUGAUCACCCGGAGUUCUGUACCUCUGACGUACAAUGGUGAGAAUAAAAACUAAAGAAGAACUGGCCUAUUUGAAACUUCAGGAUAAGUGUCAGGGUGUUUCCUGACAUGCGAUUAUCAGUGGUUACUGGUGACAAGGAGACUGGUGAGAAAUGGAGGGAGAUGAUAAGCAAGCACUUGUGGUGCGCCUGGGGUAGACAAAAGAAGAGUCAGAAAGAAACAUUUAUAUUUUCUGGAGCAAAGAGAUUAAUUAGCGAGAAGAGCUGGUUUUGCAGAACAGAGCAGGUUUUCUUCACAAAUGGGCCUGAAUAGUAUCAUUAUGGAGAUGGGGGUCUACAUGGGCUUCUAUUUCUCCUCUUGGGAAACUGCGUUUUGUUUGCUAGCGAGGGAAAAGCAAUCUCCUUAGUCCUACCAGGAAAUCUAUCCCCAGUAAAACUAAAUCUUAAUUAAAAAAAAAAGCUAUUUUUUUUGUUGUUUGCUUGUGUACUUUUUUGUGUGACAACAAAUGCCUUGUUAAAAAGUGUCCAUCCAUGUCCAGCAAGUGCUCCUUAAAGCCUAAAACCUUUGAAGGAUAAAUUUCAAGUGGUGAAGAAAGGGUUGCAUCACCAUCAUCCUACGCAACUGUUGCAUACUUUACAUUUGGUCCCCAUUUUAAACGAAAAGACAAUUUGUGAGGUAGAUUGGCUGCUACAUUCAACCCAUCUGUUAUGAUCUUGGCUAUUUUUUAAAGUUCCCACUUCAGGGACGUUUCCUACAGGAUAAGAAAGAGGGACCAUUGGCCACCCAUUGACUGCAGGAGUGCUAUGGAGAGGAGGUAGUGGGACAGGAGGGAAAAAGGCAGUUGUAAAAGACGUGCCUAAACAGAUUAUCCAAGCUGGCAUCACUGGUGAAAAAGAGACUGAGAUAUAGUAGGGAAGAAUGACAUA